Molecule: long non-coding RNA, 1028 nt
Organism: Oryzias melastigma (Indian medaka)
Lineage: Eukaryota; Metazoa; Chordata; Actinopteri; Beloniformes; Adrianichthyidae
Exons: 3
Source: RefSeq, a predicted model, not a curated record
CCAGAACUGGUUCUGUUGUGUUCUGGACUCUCUUCCUCUCACCUGCUGGUCUGGACGGUUUCCUUGGAACGAUGGACGUGAUUGGAUAGAUUUUCGUUUUGUCUUUAGCUCACAGGAAGAGGUGCUGCAGUCGGCGGGAAACACCUGUCUCAGGUGUCUCAGGUGAGUUCUGUCGUCUGAGGUUCUGGUCGACGUUCCCUCACAGCGUCUGGGUCGUGACGCAGCAGCAGCUCAGGGAUGAUUGUUCUCCUGCAGGAGGCUUGUCAGCUCUCAGUGAAACGCUGCUGGACACGCCCCCUCUGAAAGCCCAGCUGAUGUCGUGUAAUUACAGCUGACAGAUGACAGCAGACGCUGCUCGCCGUUUUCACUCGUCCAGCAGGACGGAGACUUUUACCUGCAGGUCCAGGAUCUCCGUGCAGAUCUAGGAGAAGAAUCCUGCAAACUGUUGAUGCAAACAGGAAGUUUGACACAAAAACUCUCAGUUCACUUUUUAAGCUAAAUCUCAAAAUUCUCUGUUUUUUGUAACCAUGCAGAGAAAGUUUGAUCUCUGCUGAUAAAUAUUCAGACAUUUAUCAUAAAUCGGUGCUGCAGCAGUAAAGUCUUUAUCAAACAGACAUCAAUGAAGAUGUUGAUCAAACAGCCUGAAGUUCUGCUGACCCGUUUGCGGUUGAGUCCUGAGUCACCGCCGUGGUCAUGGUUUCCUUCACGAGGCUAAAAAGUAACAACAGUUACAAUGAAAUCAUGUAGAAGAAAAGAAACUUAAAGUUUAGUCACAUGACCCACAUGGGGGAGAGGGGGGGGUCUGUGCUGUAGAAGUGUUCACUAUGACCUCUCACCCGCAGCACGCCCGUAGAUAAACAUGAACAUGGUUCACUGAGCGGUCUGUGACCUCGAUGCUUCCUGAAGGUCAUCUGUAUGACCCGGACAGGUUUGACUGUUUCUCACCUGCAGACACCUGUGUUCACCUGUGAGGACGGCGGGGACUCAGACUUCACCUUCCAGAUAUGUUUUUAUUUAUAAAGAAUCUA